Molecule: transfer RNA, 110 nt
Filed under: Chryseobacterium sp. MA9
Lineage: Bacteria; Pseudomonadati; Bacteroidota; Flavobacteriia; Flavobacteriales; Weeksellaceae
Description: tRNA-OTHER
Rfam family: tRNA
About the family: Transfer RNA (tRNA) molecules are approximately 80 nucleotides in length. Their secondary structure includes four short double-helical elements and three loops (D, anti-codon, and T loops). Further hydrogen bonds mediate the characteristic L-shaped molecular structure. tRNAs have two regions of fundamental functional importance: the anti-codon, which is responsible for specific mRNA codon recognition, and the 3' end, to which the tRNAs corresponding amino acid is attached (by aminoacyl-tRNA synthetases). tRNAs cope with the degeneracy of the genetic code in two manners: having more than one tRNA (with a specific anti-codon) for a particular amino acid; and 'wobble' base-pairing, i.e. permitting non-standard base-pairing at the 3rd anti-codon position.
Source: RNAcentral
GGGGCAGUAGCUCAGAUGGUAGAGCAACAAGAUUACUUUUGGCUUAAGGCAAACAAAGUUCCUAUAAAUCAAAUAUUUGUGUGUCACAGGUUCGAGCCCUGUCUGCUCCU